UAGGGCUUGGAAUCCAAUGUAUUCCAUUGCU
RNAcentral lists this non-coding RNA (31 nucleotides) under Rattus norvegicus (Norway rat). Lineage: Eukaryota; Metazoa; Chordata; Mammalia; Rodentia; Muridae. The record is from RNAcentral.